Long non-coding RNA from Dryobates pubescens (Downy woodpecker), 623 nucleotides. RefSeq lists it as uncharacterized. The transcript is spliced from 3 exons. NCBI's taxonomy places the organism in Eukaryota, Metazoa, Chordata, Aves, Piciformes, Picidae. The record is from RefSeq and is a predicted model, not a curated record.
GACGGGUCCCGCGGUGGGGGCAGGCCCAUGCCGGCCGGGCAGUGCCCAUGCCACUCAGAGCGCUCAGGCCGCCGGCCGCUCUCCCCAGCGCCUUUCCCCGCGCCAUGCUGCAGCGAAGCCUCCGCAGGCCGGGCCCUGAUGGCGGCUGCUGGGCGGCGGUGGCCGGCCCCGCUUCUCCUCUUGCGCCCUGUCGUUGAGCAAGGGAAGGCUGCGGCGUGAGGACGUGGCUGUGGACCGACAGGGACCCCUAUGCUGAGAGAGGAAGAGAAAGCCCGGCAGAAGACAGAAGUUGAUGUGAAAAAAGCUUGGGGGUCUCGAGAAAGGGAAGAAGAGGCUGUGUGGUUUGGCAGCCCCAGGAGGCUUCUCCGAGACCCGAGGUGAGCAGCAGUGCGCUCUGGUUCCCCCUGCCGAGUAGCUCCAUGCCCCAUCGUGUUGCAGACGUGGCUGCUGUGCCUUGGUUUGUGUCAUCAGGUGGCAGAGAGCAACAGGCUGUGUCAUUCUUUGCUGAUGCUCUGGAAAGUGUGAGCACUUGGGAAUGAUGAGCAGCCUGACAGAUUAUUUCUUCCUUUUCCUGUUUCUUUUUCCUUUAAUGUUGAUCUUAUGUCAUGAAGGAUAAAAAGCUG